CCUACGGGUGGCAGCAGUGAGGAAUAUUGGUCAAUGGACGCAAGUCUGAACCAGCCAUGCCGCGUGCAGGAUGACGGCUCUAUGAGUUGUAAACUGCUUUUGUACGAGGGUAAACCCCGAUACGUGUAUCGGGUUGAAAGUAUCGUACGAAUAAGGAUCGGCUAACUCCGUGCCAGCAGCCGCGGUAAUACGGAGGAUGCGAGCGUUAUCCGGAUUUAUUGGGGUUAAAGGGUGCGUAGGCGGGCUGUUAAGUCAGCGGUAAAAGCCCGGGGCUCAACCCCGGCGAGCCGUUGAAACUGGCUGUGUUGAGAUGUCGAGAGGUAUGCGGAAUGCGCAGUGUAGCGGUGAAAUGCUUAGAUAUUGCGCAGAACUCCGAUUGCGAAGGCAGCAUACCGGCGGCGAUCUGACGCUGAGGCACGAAAGCGUGGGUAUCGAACAGGAUUAGAUACCCGUGUAGUC
Molecule: ribosomal RNA, 459 nt
Filed under: uncultured bacterium
Lineage: Bacteria
Description: partial 16S ribosomal RNA
Rfam family: Bacterial small subunit ribosomal RNA
Source: RNAcentral